CUCGUAGGCGGUUUGGUAAGUCUGGUGUGAAAUCUCCACGCUCAACGUGGAGGGGCCACCCGAUACUGCCAUGACUGGAGUCCGGUAGAGGAGUGUGGAAUUCCCGGUGUAGCGGUGAAAUGCGCAGAUAUCGGGAGGAACACCCGUAGCGAAGGCGGCACUCUGGGCCGGUACUGACGCUGAGGAGCGAAAGCGUGGGGAAGCAAACA
Molecule: ribosomal RNA, 209 nt
Filed under: uncultured bacterium
Lineage: Bacteria
Description: partial 16S ribosomal RNA
Rfam family: Bacterial small subunit ribosomal RNA
Source: RNAcentral